This 434-nucleotide ribosomal RNA is filed under the name Drosophila conformis. RNAcentral describes it as "partial 12S ribosomal RNA". Lineage: Eukaryota; Metazoa; Arthropoda; Insecta; Diptera; Drosophilidae. The record is from RNAcentral.
UAUUAUUUAAAAUGUCAUUAUUAAUAUUAAAGUAGUAAUAGCUAUGUUCUUGAAACUUAAAAAAUUUGGCGGUAUUUUAGUCUAUCCAGAAGNACCUGUUUUGNACUCGAUAAUCCACGAUGGACCUUACUUAAGUUUGAAUCAGUUUAUAUACCGNCGNUAUCAGANUAUUUUAUAAGNAUAAUAAUAUUCAUAUUUGUAUUAAAUUAUAUCAGAUCAAGGAGUAGCUUAUANUUUAAGGAUUAUGGGGUACAUUGAGAUACUCUAUACGGNUAAAAUUAUGAAAAAACUUUUGAGGUGCUUUGGUAGUAAACCUAUGGCGAUUAAUAAUUUGAUUUUAGCUCUAAAAUAUGUACACAUCGCCCGUCGCUCUUAUUAUUAAGGUAAGAUAAGUCGUAACAUAGUAGAUGUACUGGAAAGUGCAUCUAGAAUGA